This 27-nucleotide non-coding RNA is filed under the name Mus musculus (house mouse). Lineage: Eukaryota; Metazoa; Chordata; Mammalia; Rodentia; Muridae. The record is from RNAcentral.
UAGGUGACAAGCGAUAGACUCAGGAUC